AUGCUUGCUUUGGCAGCAUAUAUUCUUCAAAUGGAACAUAAACAGAAGAUUAGCUUAGUCCCCAUACAAGCAUAAAACAAAUUUGUGAAGCAUUGUAUAUUUUU
Small nuclear RNA from Chelydra serpentina (North American snapping turtle), 104 nucleotides. Lineage: Eukaryota; Metazoa; Chordata; Testudines; Chelydridae. The record is from Ensembl.